Non-coding RNA from Schistosoma margrebowiei, 45 nucleotides. NCBI's taxonomy places the organism in Eukaryota, Metazoa, Platyhelminthes, Trematoda, Strigeidida, Schistosomatidae. The record is from Rfam.
GUCCAGUUGACGAGUCCCAAAUAGAACGAAAAACAAGUCCUGGAU